AUGACCAAUGUGGAGGUGGAACUGGACUGUCAGGUGCUUGUCAACGCUCUAAGAAGCCCUGAAGCUGAUCUCGCCUGGGAAGGAAUCCUGUUUCGGGAGAUACGGACCUUCGCUCAGCUGAACUUCAACAGAAUUAAUUUCUCUUUUGCCCCGAGGGCGUGUAAUCAUCUCGCUCAUGCUUUAGCUGCCUUUGGUGCUAGGCGUCAAAUAAUCCAGGAGGUUUGGUCGGAGGACCUGCCAAAUGAUGUAAAUGUGCGAUCGGCCAGCAACUUGGCUGGACCUGGUUAA
This 288-nucleotide ribosomal RNA is filed under the name Triticum aestivum (bread wheat). Its description in RNAcentral is "partial small subunit ribosomal RNA". The record is from RNAcentral. Lineage: Eukaryota; Viridiplantae; Streptophyta; Magnoliopsida; Poales; Poaceae.